GGCUCCACCGUGGUGCUGUCGUCCAGUUUACCCUUGUAGACUGUGCCAAAGCUGCCAGUGCCUAGCUUGAGAUCGCUUCUGAAGCACUUGGUUGCUCUCCCCAUCUCUUCUGCCCAGUGCCUGGCAGUGCGGACAAUUUCGGCCGGAACUUCCAGAGAAAAAAAUCCAACAAUGAGAAGAGCUGGUGCUGAUGAUCAACGUGGAAGACACGUGUAAAGAGCAAGCUAUCUUCUCUGAGUCACGAGCUUACCGGGAAGCAGAAUAACGUAUCGCUUUAUCGCGCAGCCACCAGUCAAGGGUGCACACGAUCCGAGGCUGACUAUGUUUCCAAGCGCGCAGAGAAUCAGAACGCCAAGAAGGUGCAAAAGCAUAAGAAGCUGAAGAAGGAGCUCGAUCCUCAAAAACCUGAAGAGCAGAAGGUAGAGAACGAGGAUGGUUCCAGUGGCAGCCAUAGCCAGAGUGGUGGAGGACAGGAGAGCAACGGUCCCAGGAAACAGGGCUUCAGUUACCUCGAGAGGCUGAGGAACGAAUAUGAGAGGACGGAAAAGGAGGUGGAGGAGGAAAAUGAGCAGGCUACUUAAUAGCUUAAGCAAGAAAAGCUAAUCACAAUAUUCCAAAAUUAUUCA
Molecule: long non-coding RNA, 626 nt
Organism: Selaginella moellendorffii
Lineage: Eukaryota; Viridiplantae; Streptophyta; Lycopodiopsida; Selaginellales; Selaginellaceae
Exons: 4
Source: RefSeq, a predicted model, not a curated record